This 30-nucleotide non-coding RNA is filed under the name Rattus norvegicus (Norway rat). Lineage: Eukaryota; Metazoa; Chordata; Mammalia; Rodentia; Muridae. The record is from RNAcentral.
UUCAAAGAAGGGGCAGAGUGUGCUUGAAGG